This 211-nucleotide unclassified non-coding RNA is filed under the name Hevea brasiliensis (rubber tree). Lineage: Eukaryota; Viridiplantae; Streptophyta; Magnoliopsida; Malpighiales; Euphorbiaceae. The record is from RNAcentral.
GGUUGAAGUUGAUAGACUUUUGAGACCUGGGGGCUACUUUGUCUGGACUUCACUUACUAACGUGCAGACAUCAAUUCACAACAAAGCUAAUCAGAAGAAGUGGACACUUGUUCGCGAUUUUGCUGAGAUUCUCUGCUGGGAAAUAUUGGCAGUACAGGAUGAAACUGUUGUGUGGAAAAAGACCACCAAACAGAAAUGUUACAGUUCUCGG